AGUGAACGCUGGCGGUAGGCCUAACACAUGCAAGUCGAACGGCAGCACAAUAAGAGCUUGCUCUUACGGGUGGCGAGUGGCGGACGGGUGAGGAAUACAUCGGAAUCUACUUUUUCGUGGGGGAUAACGUAGGGAAACUUACGCUAAUACCGCAUACGACCUACGGGUGAAAGCAGGUGAUCUUCGGACCUUGCGCGUUUGAAUGAGCCGAUGUCGGAUUAGCUAGUUGGCGGGGUAAAGGCCCACCAAGGCGACGAUCCGUAGCUUGUCUGAGAGGAGGAUCAGCGACACUGGAACUGAGACACGGUCCAGACUACGACGGGAGGCAGAAGUGGGGAAUAUUGGAAAAUGGGCGAAAGCCUGAUCCAGCCAUACCGCGUGGGUGAAGAAGGCCUUCGGGUUGUAAAGCCCUUUUGUUGGGAAAGAAAAGCAGCAGGUUAAUACCCCGCUGUUCUGACGGUAACCAAAGAAUAAGCACCGGCUAACUUCGUG
This 492-nucleotide ribosomal RNA is filed under the name uncultured bacterium. Its description in RNAcentral is "partial 16S ribosomal RNA". It matches the Rfam family "Bacterial small subunit ribosomal RNA", at positions 29 to 507 of the family's 1533-position model. The record is from RNAcentral.